AAGUAUGGUAGUAUACUGUGUGAAAUUUGCCCGAUGCCAUUAAUAUAAGAAAAGUUAUGGAUUUGUUUAUUAAAACAAUACUGCGACCUAUCGAAAAUCUGGUUAAUAGCGGUCUUAAUCCUGAGGAUCCUAAGGUAGCAAAAUCAAUUGGCCAUUAAAUGUGGUCCGGUAUCAAUAAUGUAACGAUGGUCUCACUGUCUCUACAACUUGCUCAGUGAAAUUGAAUUACGCGUGCAGAUGCGCGUUGCCUCCAGGGGGACGGGAAGACCCUAUGCAGCUUCUACUGA
RNAcentral lists this ribosomal RNA (287 nucleotides) under uncultured Cortinarius. RNAcentral's name for it is "partial large subunit ribosomal RNA". It matches the Rfam family "Bacterial large subunit ribosomal RNA", at positions 1833 to 2107 of the family's 2925-position model. The record is from RNAcentral. Lineage: Eukaryota; Fungi; Basidiomycota; Agaricomycetes; Agaricales; Cortinariaceae.